UACAGAGGGCGCAAGCGUUAUUCGGAUUCACUGGGCAUAAAGAGCACGUAGGCGGCUACGUAAGUCGGAUGUGAAAUCCCGCGGCUCAACCGCGGAAUGGCAUCCGAUACUGCGUGGCUCGAGGUCGGAAGGGGUAAGCGGAACUCCAGGUGGAACGGUGAAAUGUGUAGAUAUCUGGAGGAACACCGGUGGCGAAGGCGGCUUACUGGUCCGAAUCUGACGCUGAGGUGCGAAAGCUAGGGGAGCGAACGGGAUUAGAUACCCCGGUAGUCCUAGCCGUAAACGAUGGGCACUAGGCAAUGGAUCAUCCCUAUGGGGUUCAUUGCCGUAGCAAAUGUGUUAAGUGCCCCGCCUGGGGAGUACGCUCGCAAGGGUAAA
This 378-nucleotide ribosomal RNA is filed under the name uncultured bacterium. RNAcentral's name for it is "bacterial SSU rRNA". It matches the Rfam family "Bacterial small subunit ribosomal RNA", at positions 524 to 898 of the family's 1533-position model. The record is from RNAcentral.